Molecule: non-coding RNA, 109 nt
Filed under: Candidatus Kurthia intestinigallinarum
Lineage: Bacteria; Bacillati; Bacillota; Bacilli; Caryophanales; Caryophanaceae
Also listed under: 1 other name
Description: FMN riboswitch (RFN element)
Rfam family: FMN riboswitch aptamer (RFN element)
About the family: The RFN element is a highly conserved domain that is found frequently in the 5'-untranslated regions of prokaryotic mRNAs that encode for flavin mononucleotide (FMN) biosynthesis and transport proteins. This element is a metabolite-dependent riboswitch that directly binds FMN in the absence of proteins.
Source: RNAcentral
UUCCUUCGGGGUAGGGUGCAAUUCCCAAUCGGCGGUUAUAGCCCGCGAGCUUUCGAGCAGGAUUCGGUGAAAUUCCGGAGCCGACAGUAUAGUCUGGAUGAGAGAAGGA